Molecule: ribosomal RNA, 487 nt
Filed under: uncultured bacterium
Lineage: Bacteria
Description: partial 16S ribosomal RNA
Rfam family: Bacterial small subunit ribosomal RNA
Source: RNAcentral
GAUGAACGCUAGCGAUAGGCUUAACACAUGCAAGUCGAGGGGCAGCACAAGGUAGCUUGCUAUCUGGGUGGCGACCGGCGCACGGGUGCGUAACGCGUAUGCAACUUGCCCUAUACAGGAGGAUAACCCGUCGAAAGACGGACUAAUACUGCGUAUGCUCACAACUUGGCAUCAAGUGGUGAGGAAAGAAAUUCGGUAUAGGAUAGGCAUGCGUCCCAUUAGCUUGUUGGUGAGGUAACGGCUCACCAAGGCAACAAUGGGUAGGGGAACUGAGAGGUUUAACCCCCAAACUGGUACCGAGACACGGACCAGACUCCUACGGGAGGCAGCAGUGAGGAAUAUUGGGCAAUGGGCGCGAGCCUGAACCAGCCAAGUCGCGUGAAGGAAGACUGGCUUAUGGAUUGUAAACUUCUUUUAGACGGGAAUAACAAGAGUCACGUGUGACUCCCUGCAUGUACCGUAUGAAUAAGCAUCGGCUAACUCCGUG